GUAGGUGGCAAGCGUUGUCCGGAAUUAUUGGGCGUAAAGCGCGCGCAGGUGGUUCUUUAAGUCUGAUGUGAAAGCCCCCGGCUCAACCGGGGAGGGUCAUUGGAAACUGGGGAACUUGAGUGCAGGAGAGGAAAGUGGGAUUCCACGUGUAGCGGUGAAAUGCGUAGAUAUGUGGAGGAACACCAGUGGCGAAGGCGACUUUCUGGCCUGUAACUGACACUGAGGCGCGAAACGCGUGGGGUAGCAAACAGGGAUUAGAUACCCUGGUAGUCCACGCCGUAAACGAUGAGUGCUAAGUGUUGGGGGGGUUUUACCCGGCCCCCGUCAGUGCUGCAGCUAACGCAUUAAGCACUCCGCCUGGGGUAGUACGGUCGCAAGACUG
This 382-nucleotide ribosomal RNA is filed under the name uncultured organism. Its description in RNAcentral is "partial 16S ribosomal RNA". It matches the Rfam family "Bacterial small subunit ribosomal RNA", at positions 527 to 896 of the family's 1533-position model. The record is from RNAcentral.